This 433-nucleotide ribosomal RNA is filed under the name uncultured bacterium. RNAcentral describes it as "partial 16S ribosomal RNA". It matches the Rfam family "Bacterial small subunit ribosomal RNA", at positions 29 to 507 of the family's 1533-position model. The record is from RNAcentral.
AACGAACGCUGGCGGCAUGCCUAACACAUGCAAGUCGAACGAGACCUUCGGGUCUAGUGGCGCACGGGUGCGUAACGCGUGGGAAUCUGCCCUUGGGUUCGGAAUAACAGUUGGAAACGACUGCUAAUACCGGAUGAUGACGUAAGUCCAAAGAUUUAUCGCCCAGGGAUGAGCCCGCGUAGGAUUAGCUAGUUGGUGGGGUAAAGGCCUACCAAGGCGACGAUCCUUAGCUGGUCUGAGAGGAGGAUAAGCCACACUGGGACUGAGACACGGCCCAGACUCCUACGCGAGGCAGCAGUGGGGAAUAUUGGACAAUGGGCGAAAGCCUGAUCCAGCAAUGCCGCGUGAGUGAUGAAGGCCUUAGGGUUGUAAAGCUCUUUUACCCGGGAUGAUAAUGACAGUACCGGGAGAAUAAGCCCCGGCUAACUCCGUG